Molecule: ribosomal RNA, 449 nt
Filed under: uncultured bacterium
Lineage: Bacteria
Description: partial 16S ribosomal RNA
Rfam family: Bacterial small subunit ribosomal RNA
Source: RNAcentral
AACGAACGCUGGCGGCAGGCCUAACACAUGCAAGUCGAGCGAAGCCUUCGGGCUUAGCGGCGGACGGGUGAGUAACGCGUGGGAACGUGCCCUUUGGUACAGAAUAGCCCCGGGAAACUGGGAGUAAUACCGUAUGUGGUCGAGAGACGAAAGAUUUAUCGCCAAAGGAUCGGCCCGCGUUGGAUUAGGUAGUUGGUGGGGUAAUGGCCUACCAAGCCGACGAUCCAUAGCUGGUUUGAGAGGAUGAUCAGCCACACUGGGACUGAGACACGGCCCAGACUCCUACGGGAGGCAGCAGUGGGGAAUCUUGGACAAUGGGGGAAACCCUGAUCUAGCCAUGCCGCGUGAUCGAUGAAGGCCUUAGGGUUGUAAAGAUCUUUCAGUGGGGAAGAUAAUGACUGUACCCACAGAAGAAGCCCCGGCUAACUCCGUGCCAGCCGCCGCGGUAA